CCCUUAGAUGUUCUGGGCCGCACGCGCGCUACACUGAUGCAUUCAACGAGUCUAAAACCUGGUCUGAUAGGGCUGGGUAAUCUUUUGAAUGUGCAUCGUGAUUGGGAUAGAUGAUUGCAAUUCUUCAUCUUCAACGAGGAAUGCCUAGUAAACGCAAGUCAUCAGCUUGCAUUGAUUACGUCCCUGCCCUUUGUACACACCGCCCGCCGCUCCUACCGAUUGAAUGUUCCGAUGAAUACCAUGGACUGAGAGUAUGAAUGGGUUCGCCUAUUUCUGCUUCUCGGGAAGUGGAGUAAAUCUUAACAUUUAGAGGAAGGAGAAGUCGUAACA
RNAcentral lists this ribosomal RNA (330 nucleotides) under uncultured eukaryote. Its description in RNAcentral is "partial 18S ribosomal RNA". It matches the Rfam family "Eukaryotic small subunit ribosomal RNA", at positions 1470 to 1796 of the family's 1831-position model. The record is from RNAcentral.